This 449-nucleotide ribosomal RNA is filed under the name uncultured bacterium. Its description in RNAcentral is "partial 16S ribosomal RNA". It matches the Rfam family "Bacterial small subunit ribosomal RNA", at positions 29 to 523 of the family's 1533-position model. The record is from RNAcentral.
AACGAACGCUGGCGGCAGGCUUAACACAUGCAAGUCGAACGCAUCCUUCGGGGUGAGUGGCAGACGGGUGAGUAACGCGUGGGAACGUGCCCUUCAGUUCGGGAUAACCCAGGGAAACUUGGGCUAAUACCGGAUACGUGCGAGAGCAGAAAGAUUUAUCGCUGAAGGAUCGGCCCGCGUCUGAUUAGCUAGUUGGUGGGGUAAUGGCCCACCAAGGCGACGAUCAGUAGCUGGUCUGAGAGGAUGAUCAGCCACAUUGGGACUGAGACACGGCCCAAACUCCUACGGGAGGCAGCAGUGGGGAAUAUUGGACAGUGGGCGCAAGCCUGAUCCGGCCAUGCCGCGUGAGUGAUGAAGGCCUUAGGGUUGUAAAGCUCUUUCGUCCGGGACGAUAAUGACGGUACCGGAAGAAGAAGCCCCGGCUAACUUCGUGCCAGCCGCCGCAGUAA